GAUGAACGCUAGCUACAGGCUUAACACAUGCAAGUCGAGGGGCAGCAUGGUCUUAGCUUGCUAAGGCCGAUGGCGACCGGCGCACGGGUGAGUAACGCGUAUCCAACCUUCCCCUAGUAGGGGAUAGCCCGGCGAAAGUCGGAUUAAUGCCCUAUGUUCUCCUUUGCGGGCAUCUAAUGAGGAGUAAAGAUUUAUCGCUGUGGGAUGGGGAUGCGUCUGAUUAGCUUGUCGGCGGGGUAACGGCCCACCGAGGCGACGAUCAGUAGGGGUUCUGAGAGGAAGGUCCCCCACAUUGGUACUGAGACACGGACCAAACUCC
This 319-nucleotide ribosomal RNA is filed under the name uncultured Prevotella sp. RNAcentral's name for it is "bacterial SSU rRNA". It matches the Rfam family "Bacterial small subunit ribosomal RNA", at positions 28 to 339 of the family's 1533-position model. The record is from RNAcentral. Lineage: Bacteria; Pseudomonadati; Bacteroidota; Bacteroidia; Bacteroidales; Prevotellaceae.